GGUCCAGCAGCAGGAGUCUUCUUGGGUGUUAAAAGGCUCCAGCUUCACCAUCAGCUGCUCCAUCCAGCCUCAGUACCCAGGAGGCUCUUUCCAGCUCACCUUCACCUCCUCCAGCACCACCAACAACUACACCCAGCCAGCUGUCAAUCACUCUGCCCACUUCCUGUUCCCUGCUGCAGAGCCCGCCCACCAAGGAACCUACAGCUGUGUUUAUCGCGUCUUCGUGUUUUCUCGUAACUUCUCCUCUGAGAGCCGUCAGCUGUCUCUCACUGUCUCAGAUCCAACAGUGUUUGUCAUCAGACUGCUGCUCCUGCUGCUGAGCCUGCUGCUCUUCAUCUCUGCCGUCUGUUUCAGCCAUAAGGUCACCGGGAGGCAGAAGCCCCGCCCACCAGAGGACCAGGAGCUGGAUGGUUAAAGCUGGCAGUGUCCAGAAAGGCAGGCAGCUCAGCAGCGCCUCCACAUGGUGGAGGAAGUGUUUGCAUCCUUCACCACAGUGUGAACAUGAAGAACAACCACAGUAUCAUUUAUACUUUUGCUUAUGCUGUAUCGGGAUUGUGAUGAUUGUUGUGAUUAUUAGUUUUGCGUUUAUAUUAUAUUCUUAAGAAAAAAAAGUUUAACAUUUGAUGGUAUCAGACACGUCGGGCAGGUGUGAGCUGGUGUUGUGGUUGGACACAGGUGAACUAAACCUUUUAAGGUGGAUCUCCCCACAGGACACUGUUCUCAUCAAGUUCAUUCUCAGCAUGACAGCAAAGACGUUCCACUGGAGCUGUCAGAUCCAUCCACAAAACAUGGUCCCACUUUCUGCUCGCUACUUCAGCAUGCAUGUUUGAUUACAGUGCUUUGUCUGUAGGUUACAUAUUAAUGUAAUUUUUACUUGUCCAUACAACAUGAUAUGAGCCAGGAGUCAUAAACGUGGGGUCCUCCAUCAGCAUCUCACAGCACGUUGUGCAAAGCUUUUGCAGCAUCAGCCUCAAUAAAACAUGGUCUGGUACUCUGCAGUAAAUGUAACCAUCUCCUCAUGAUCUCUGUGAGGUGACCCUUGUCCAGGUACUCCCUGGUGUUCUGGCAAAAAGCUGAAUAAAUCCAU
Oreochromis aureus is the source of this 1087-nucleotide long non-coding RNA. RefSeq lists it as uncharacterized. The record is from RefSeq and is a predicted model, not a curated record. The transcript is spliced from 3 exons. NCBI's taxonomy places the organism in Eukaryota, Metazoa, Chordata, Actinopteri, Cichliformes, Cichlidae.